CCCUCCCACCAUCUACCGCAGCCACUUCCGCCCGUCCUCCGGAAGUGGGUCCGCGGCAACUGCCACCUCCCGUCAUCCCGCCUUAUCUCCCCCCGCCUAUCACCACCGCCACCAAGGGAGCACGGAACGUGACUCUGCAGGACUUGAGGUUGUUCUGCAGUUACUAUUCACAGAACUGGAGAAGAGGUGUGGGCAGGACAGAGUGCGGGUGAGAAAGGACAUGGGGACAAGAGUAAAGGCUGGGCAAGAAGGGGCGGGGCAGAGUGUGGCGGAAAGCCGGAGCUCGCGUCACGUCGAGCCGCGCGGGAAGAAGAGCGCAUGCGCCUGACACCUCGGCCCGGUGGUGAUGUUUGGUGCUUGGACAGCUUCGCCAGGCUGGACUUGGGCGGGAAGGGGGCGGAGCUAGAACCCGGAAGUGGGGGCGGAGUCGGCAAGGGGCAGUCUCGCCAGGUCCCCUCGGUUUUACUGUCACAACAACCUGCCUCUUUGGGGUUCUGAAGAAGGCCUAAGCUGGCCCACUCUCUGGAUUCGAGUCCUGGUGAGAAGCAAUUCUGGAAGCACCAAGGCCUGUGUUCACCCGUUCCUACGCUGAGAGCUCUGUAGCAGUACUAGAAGAAAGCUGUUUUGUUUAUUGCUUACUUUUCUCGCUGCAUCUCUAACGGAGGCAGGACCUUCCUUGGGUCUGAAAAGAGACUACUCAUACAAUUGUGUCAGAAUUGAGUUAAAUUGUAGGACAACCAGCUGGUAUCCCAGAGAACUGCUUGGUGGGAGAAAACGCCCAUGCAUUUGGUGGCAGAGGAUGUAUCAGGUCACAGGAGAGAGGAGACUGGUUAUCAAGAAAGAACAAAAAAACUUACAAGAAAACACUGAAGACAGUGCAGGAGUACAAGAAGUAUAUAAAAUUAAUUUGGAGUAUUUCCUGAAGGUAGGUUUUGAAGGGAACCAGGAGAGAGGAAUCCCUGGUUUAGGGGUCAUAUAUCCUUCUCUACUUGAAGUAGAACCUAGCUCAAAUAGGAAUAUUUCUAAUCUUUAUCAUCUAAACUGAGCCUGGUGCCAGGAGCUUGGAUGCUGAUCCUGACUGCAGUGACCAGGUUUCAUACACCCCAAUCAAACCCUUUAAAGCAUCUCCUCAUGUAGGAGCAGUUGAGAAGUACUUUUGAGGAAAACAAUUUUAACAAAUACCUCCAAAGCAAAACUAUAACUUCAUCAUAAUUCCUUUAUUUCUUUUGAAAUGGGUUUUAAACCAGAAUAACUGUUUCUAAUUGUUAGAAAUAUUUUAAAUAAUUGUUAGUAAUAAUCUUUACUAAUCAUUAAAAGAGAAACACAUACAUUAGUCUUUUUGAAAGUAUCAUUUCUGAUCUUUUGCUCAGUAUGUGAGUUGCUGUUUUACACCUUAUUUUGUGACAAAGGUGUGGUACUCAUGUUCCCCACCCCCAUGCCCCCCAAACCAAUACUAGACUCCUCUAGAAUAGUGGAAGAACAGAAGUUAAAGGCAACCCUACACUCCCAGCAAACACUCAUCAGGUAUCACCUGGAAACUGUUCAAGGCAAAAAACAAAAAUGUUUAAGGGGCCUCUAGCUUCUUGGAGUUAAUAAUCCAUUCUGCCUACCGCCUCCCAGUUAUUUCACUGCUAUGUGACAAUCACCUCUGCAUUGUAUCACGCACUGAUUUCAUUCCUGGUAACUGUUAAAGGACUGACCUUUUCAGAUGAUUGGCGCUUCUAAAUAAAUCAGAUCCAUUUGAGGUCAUGUCUGGGGGAAUAUUAAGCUUGCAUUCUCACAUGCCUUCUUGAGUGGGUAAAAAACAAUUGGAAUUUCUGUACAGAAUUGGGUGUGAUGUAUGAAAUGGAUCCUCUUACUCAGCUGCAACCCAGAGUGAGGCAAAUAUUUCAAGAAAAACAUUUGAUGUGCAUUUUUCUGGGCUUUGUCAAUACCUGAAAACAAGAGGCAGUUUCUUCCAAGGAAGAGAUCAUGGAUGGUUGGUCUGAGGAACACAGAGAUUCCAGAUAGAUUUUCCCUCCCUCAGCUUGGGGUGCCACAUCUUCCUUAUCCACCCACCAAAGUCCUCAGAAGUCUUCUAUUACUAGCUUCUAUUACUAGUCUUCCUCCUUGAAACCUCAGUCACUGUCAGCACUGAUUUGUCUUUGCCUUGGAAUUCAUUGUGGUACAGCUAUCCCUAGUGUUACUCCUUUCCUCAUCUCUCAGUUUCACCUCACCCCCAGCAGUAUCUUGAGAGACCCCAGUAGAGUAUGAACAGCUGCAGGAUGCAGCAGAUGUGAGCAGCCACAGAGGAAAUCGAAGUCUCAGUGAAAUCCUAUAUGGAAACCCAGGCAAGCUGUGAAAUCGAAAUUAAGAAAGGUAGAAAAAAAAUGUAAAAUGUUGAAGAUUUAGCCUGAUAAAUUUUGAGCAAAAGAAGAAAGAAACAUGAUAUAGUGGAUAAGGCAGAACUUAGGGCUCAAAUCUGAGUGAAGUUUACAAAGUCCACUCAACCAGAUCCCUAGAGAAGAGAUAGAGCCAAGAAAAUGUUAGAAACUUGGUUGUAGAUUUUACAAGAUUGAACCAAGAGGGCCAAGUCUGGGGUAAUGGAAAAUAGAGUAGGCACUCCAAGAAUAAUACAUUGUUUUCUCAUUUAAAGGAAGCACGAUCUGAAAAGUAUGGGAAAGUGCAAGUUUAGGCCAUGUGUUGAGAGAUGCCAUGGCAUAUCAUUAUGCCUUGAGUUCAGCUGCUACCUCCGCCACAAAGUUCUGUGCCCAUGGGCAAUUCUUUAACCUCUUGACGCCUAAGUUCCUCCGCCUGCCAAAUGGGAAAUGAUUAAUGGCCACCUCAUGGUAUUCUUGUAAAGACUGGAGGAGUUGCCAGCAAUGGUGCCUGGUACAUAAUGUUGGGCCUCUGUCCUCAGGCUGCACACAGCCCAUUGAAGAAACUGGUCAGCAGCUUCGCAAAACAACCCAGGCCAUGGAAGAAGGCCCUUCAGGGCCCCAGAGCUCAGAACUUGACCUGAAGCUUUGACCAGGAGGUAACAUUUGUCCUUCCUAUUAACCAAAUGUAAGGGAACUGUUGGAACAGCAAGGACACAGGAAGGAUUGAAUCAUUUCACUAAACCAUCCAUUUGUGAGCCAUUUCAAAUUUACCAAUUUCCUGCUGGGGCAGUGGGAGAGGGAAAAUGAGAAGAAAAACCAAGUCCAGUGGUCUUAAUUCUGAGGGCCUACAUGGGGCAGGGAAUAUGCUUUGAUUGAAAGGCAAGACUUUUCUCUGGGAUAUGUAGAAUUGGAGGCAAGGGGAGGCAGGAGGGAGAGUUUGGGAAUGUAGGCUCUGGAGGAGGGAAGUAGGAAGUGAGUUCUGUCCUCCCAGUGGGCUUUCCCUCCCCAAGCAGAUCACUAGCACAGACGGGAGUGACUAUUAGGAGAGAUGGGGGUUCCGUUCAAAAGCUGGAUGGGCUGGUGACUGUCCCUUUGCCACAGAGCUAGAGUGGCAGUGCAGCAUGCAUCCCAGAGGUCUGGCAUGCCAAGCUCCAGGAGGACCCCAAGGUCAAGUGGACAGAGCAGGAACAGGGUUUGUGCCAUCUCGCCAAUCUACUGCCCUGUCUGAGAGGGUGCUCUCCAGAUGAGGUCCAUCAAGGGCCUGUGGGGUGUGUAGCCAGCAAUGAAAACUGAGGGGAGCAGAAGGAAGCUGAGCCAGAUGUUCCCCCUUAUUCCCAUCAACGAUGCCCACAUCCUGUCCAGCCUACAUCCAUCCAUCAGAUUUAGGAACUUCAAAGUAGAGACAGGGUGUACAGCCAGUUGAGUUGCCAGAUAAAACACAGGACACCCAAUUAAAUUUGAACUUCAGACAAACAAGGAAUAAUUGUUAUUGCAUGAGACAUACACUAAAAAAAGACUAUUCCUUGUUUAUCUGAAAUUAAAAUCUUACUGGCUGUCCUGAUUUUUUUUUAAUUGUUUUGCUAAAUCUGGUAUUUCUAGUAACAGGACAACAUGCUAAAUGAAUCUCAACAUUUUUGAGGAUGGUAUUAAAGUAGUAGGGUCUUGUCAUGUCUGGGCAAUUGUAGCAACUUCCAGAAGUGGUGCUGAGUUCUCCAGGCUCUGGGAUUUUGUUACUGACUCCCAGGUGACAGUUCCCUUUCCAAGCACCUGUCCCCUCUUCCCUCUGGGAGCUAUGAGAGAAAAGAAAAAAGAAAUAUACUAUACAAGCUGAUUUGAUGGGCCAGCCAAAGGAACCGGCAGUAACUCAGGGGUUUCAAACUGUGGGUCACAACUUCUGCAGGUUGUGAACCCAGGUCAUGCCAGCAUGAAUAGGGGAUAGGGUGGAUUAGGGAAGGAGAUCAGAGUGUACAGCCUGUAUUUUUUUUUCAACUGCUCUCCCUUUUUAAUCAAUUUUACACAAUGAUAUUGUACAUGAGUAAUCACAGUAAGAGACAGGAUGGGUUUCCUGUACACAUACAAGACGUACAAGCUCAUUCACUGAGGCUUUUAGAAGGUUUUAUCAGUACAAAACUUGUUAAUACAGGUGAAGCCCAAGAAUACAGUAGACAUGACAGAACAUCAACUCAGCAGAGGUGAAUUCUUAAGGCAUUUGUCUCCUGCCCACACUGUCUGCCAUGAACCAAGUAUAGAGGACUUUCUCUCUCGGGUAUUUAACCUUUGAUGAGCACAGGCCUGUGGGACAUGCAGCUUUGCAGUGACCCCACAGCUCAACCACACCAACCUUGACACAAGCAAAGGAUAUCUUCCUUUCUCCAAGUAUUCUCAAGAGUAAAAAAGCUAUUCCUGGUCACCCUACUCCUUUGGGUAACCUACAUUCUAAAAUAUAUGAUUAUUAAUCUGGUAACAUUCUCAAGCAUUUUUGGCAAGAUAUCUCAAAUAUCUCAUCACUGUUCAUCUACUCACUAAAAAUUCUUUGAGCUUCAUAAAUAUUGUUUCUGAUUUUCCCCCCAAAGUAUGACAAUUACAUACAGAAUAAACGUGCUAGAGUUAACAGAACUAAACAGAGGGCAGACUUUUCCUUACAAAAUGAAGCAGGAAUGGAGAUACAAGAGAAUAGUCUAGUAUACACAUUAAUGGAGGAAGCUGAGUCCACUAAUGAUUCUGUCACUUCUACCCAAUCCACUAACAGUUCUGAGCGAGUGUGUUUCUACUUUCCUUUUUCACACCCAAUCUCAUCAGCCACAGGAACUGUUAAAAGUUCACAAUGUUGGCCUUCACUCGGCCCAUGGAAUUCCCAUGAUACGCAAUGGGGAAACUGCCCACCAGCCCUCACAGUCAGCUACUGCUUCCCAUGGCCAGAGCUAGACCUCAUCACUGCCUGGGAUGGGUUUUAGUUCUCUCACUUACAUACCUCAGGAACAUAGAGGUUGAAAGACUACAUUAAACAAAGGCUUCCAGGACAUGUUAGGGAAAGAAAAACCCAUGCAUCACAUCCACAUCUAUUUUCCAUCCUUCACAAAGCCUAACCCUCUUACAACAAAACAGGCUUUUGUAAGCAGGUUUUUAAAAAGAUAAAGCAGGAGAAAUCAGUAACUGGCUGUGAUUUGACCUAAAGUAGAGAAAGAAAACAAAAUGUUUGCUAGAUUUUAAAAAUGACAAUUUUACAAAGACAAUCUUCAAUCUGUAAUUCUAUUACUUAACUGUCUCUAGAAGCAGAGUAUUAAUACAAAAUAAAAACUGAUUUUUUCAUUAGACAAUUCCACAGAAUUUCAAUGAACAUUUAACAUUAAUUAUUUUAGUAAAUUUUAUGUAAUAAUCCGUGACUACCGAAGGUUUCCUAUGUGUGAUUCUAUACUUUUGCACAAUCCUUCAUAUAAACUAGGUACUGGGAGGAAGUGUGGUAAGAAACAGCCAAAGGACAGCUGUUCCUCUUUCCUGAAAGUAAAAUCAAAUUACUACCUAUCUCACACCCACCACUGCCAUGCACACAGUUGUUUAGUUGCUGAGUCGUGUCUGACUCAGUGACCCAGUGGACUAUAGCCCGCCAGGCUCCUCUGUCCAUGGGAUUUCCCUGACAAGAAUAUUGGAGUGGGUUGCCAUUUCCUUCUCUACUGCUUGUAUUUUAUCUCAAAAAAAUCUUGUAUCUCUGAGUUAUUGUGUGUAUACAUGACUAACAAUAUUUCUUACUGUAGUCAGGGUCCAAAAUGUUUGAAAGACACUAAUGAUGAUGUUGAGGCUUGCAGGACAUUAUUGUGAAAACUAUUGGAUCAACAGCCAGGAUGAGUUGGUUUCACACCCAUGGGUUAGGGUAAGCUUUGCCUUGUUCUGGAAAAAUCACCCUCUGGAACCAUCUUAUCUUUUCAUGGAAUCUUCAGUCCCUGCAUAUAAAUGGCCAAUGUUUAAUUUAAAUCAUUUAAAGUUCCCAGGUUUGUUCAUUUUGUUUACUGUACUGUAAUAACUUAUUAAAAACAUACAUGGAAUUGAACAUUGUUGCACCUGGUCUUAGGCAUUAAAUAUAAGUUAUAAUGUGGGACUAAAGGCAUUGUCCAAAUGGCCAUAGUGGGUUUUUUAAAUUUAUUUUUUUAUUGCAGGAUAAUUGCUUUACAGAAAACCAUAGUGGUUUUAACAUUUGUUUUAUUUCCUCCUCUAAAGGAAAGGUUUUUCACUGAAAAAUCCAUGGAGAUUACUUGGGAUAAUUCCCCAAAGCUACCCUAAAUGGUUUUGACAGAGUCAUAAUUUCUCUCAUGCAAAGAAUAUAUGAUGCUUUUACUUAGAAAGUGGAAGAAGAAAUGUUUGCAGUUGUACUUUGAAUUUUUAAAAAAUUCCUAUAACAAUUAGCUCUUGAUUCAGAAAUUAUAAAUAAAGCUAUUUUAUCAUCCAGUGUCACUGAAA
Bubalus bubalis (water buffalo) is the source of this 6812-nucleotide long non-coding RNA. RefSeq lists it as uncharacterized. The transcript is spliced from 4 exons. The record is from RefSeq and is a predicted model, not a curated record. NCBI's taxonomy places the organism in Eukaryota, Metazoa, Chordata, Mammalia, Artiodactyla, Bovidae.